Molecule: ribosomal RNA, 253 nt
Filed under: uncultured bacterium
Lineage: Bacteria
Description: partial 16S ribosomal RNA
Rfam family: Bacterial small subunit ribosomal RNA
Source: RNAcentral
UACGUAGGGGGCAAGCGUUGUCCGGAUUUACUGGGCGUAAAGCGCGUGUAGGCGGCUAAGUAAGUCGGGCGUGAAAUCCCACGGCUCAACCGUGGAAGUGCACUCGAAACUGCAUAGCUAGAGUCCUGGAGAGGAAGGUGGAAUGCUUGGUGUAGAGGUGAAAUUCGUAGAUAUCAAGCGGAACACCGGUGGCGAAGGCGGCCUUCUGGACAGUGACUGACGCUGAGACGCGAAAGCGUGGGGAGCAAACAGG